RNAcentral lists this ribosomal RNA (66 nucleotides) under Armillaria mexicana. The record is from RNAcentral. Lineage: Eukaryota; Fungi; Basidiomycota; Agaricomycetes; Agaricales; Physalacriaceae.
AUCCACGGCCAUAGGAUUUUGAAACUACCGCAUCCCGUCUGAUCUGCGCAGUCAACCAAAAUGCCG